RNAcentral lists this ribosomal RNA (484 nucleotides) under uncultured bacterium. RNAcentral's name for it is "partial 16S ribosomal RNA". It matches the Rfam family "Bacterial small subunit ribosomal RNA", at positions 28 to 507 of the family's 1533-position model. The record is from RNAcentral.
AUUGAACGCUGGCGGCAUGCUUUACACAUGCAAGUCGAACGGCAGCGCGGGCUCCGGCCUGGCGGCGAGUGGCGAACGGGUGAGUAAUGCAUCGGAACGUGCCCAGUAGUGGGGGAUAGCCCGGCGAAAGCCGGAUUAAUACCGCAUACGACCUGAGGGUGAAAGCGGGGGACCGAAAGGCCUCGCGCUAUUGGAGCGGCCGAUGUCGGAUUAGCUAGUUGGUGGGGUAAAGGCUUACCAAGGCGACGAUCCGUAGCUGGUCUGAGAGGACGACCAGCCACACUGGGACUGAGACACGGCCCAGACUCCUACGGGAGGCAGCAGUGGGGAAUGUUGGACAAUGGGGGCAACCCUGAUCCAGCCAUGCCGCGUGCGGGAAGAAGGCCUUCGGGUUGUAAACCGCUUUUGUUCGGGAAGAAAUCCUCUGGGCUAAUACCCCGGGGGGAUGACGGUACCGGAAGAAUAAGCACCGGCUAACUACGUG